UACGGGGGGAGCAAGCGUUGUUCGGAUUUACUGGGCGUAAAGGGCGCGUAGGCGGCGCAACAAGUCACUUGUGAAAUCUCCGGGCUUAACUCGGAAAGGUCAAGUGAUACUGUUGUGCUAGAGUGCGGAAGGGGCAACUGGAAUUCUCGGUGUAGCGGUGAAAUGCGUAGAUAUCGAGAGGAACACCUGCGGCGAAGGCGGGUUGCUGGGCCGACACUGACGCUGAGGUGCGAAAGCGUGGGGAGCAAACAGG
RNAcentral lists this ribosomal RNA (253 nucleotides) under uncultured bacterium. Its description in RNAcentral is "partial 16S ribosomal RNA". It matches the Rfam family "Bacterial small subunit ribosomal RNA", at positions 524 to 776 of the family's 1533-position model. The record is from RNAcentral.